This 588-nucleotide ribosomal RNA is filed under the name Triticum aestivum (bread wheat). RNAcentral's name for it is "partial small subunit ribosomal RNA". Lineage: Eukaryota; Viridiplantae; Streptophyta; Magnoliopsida; Poales; Poaceae. The record is from RNAcentral.
CUGUGUGUACCAAAAAAUCAAGGAGGGAUGGGAUUUCACGAUAUUCACUGUUUCAACUUGGCGUUGCUAGCCAAACAGGCAUAGCGUCUUCUGGAUAAUCCUUAUUCAUUAUGCGCUUCUAUCCUAAGGGCAAAAUACUACCCCGAUGGUGAUCUGUUAAAUGCAAAGCUCAGGAAAGGCUCCUCCUUUACAUGGCAAAGCAUCAUGGCAGACACAAAUACUCUGAAUCGUGGCUACAUUUGGUGAGUGGAAAAUGGACAUAAUAUUAAUAUUUGGGAAGAUGCCUGGAUCCCAAAUUUUGCCAGUAGGAAAAUUAUAACGCCUAAGGGAGGCAACCUACUAGGUAAGGUAGGUGAUCUCACUGACCCGGUUUCUAACACUUGGGAUGAAGAAUUGAUUAGGCAAACUAUGUGGCCGAUUGAUGUACAAAGGAUUCUUUCAAUCCCCCUACCGCAAUAUGAUAUGCAAGAUUUCAUUGCCUGGAAUUAUACGAAAAAUGGUAUAUUCUCAGUUAUGUCAGCCUACUCUAUGGAGUGUGAUCAUCAGUUUGGUAACAAACUAAAACACUUUAGGGCGAAUCACAGUUAA